CAGCACCUCAAGUGGUCAGGAUGAUUAUUGGGCCUAAAGCAUCCGUAGCCGGCGCUGUAAGUUUUGGUUAAAUCUGUACGCUCAACGUACAGGCUGCCGGGAAUACUGCAGCGCUAGGGAGUGGGAGAGGUAGACGGUACUCGGUAGGAAGGGGUAAAAUCCUUUGAUCUAUUGAUGACCACCUGUGGCGAAGGCGGUCUACCAGAACACGUCCGACGGUGAGGGAUGAAAGCUGGGGGAGCAAACCGGAUUAGAUACCCGAGUAGUCC
RNAcentral lists this ribosomal RNA (269 nucleotides) under uncultured archaeon. RNAcentral's name for it is "partial 16S ribosomal RNA". It matches the Rfam family "Archaeal small subunit ribosomal RNA", at positions 477 to 747 of the family's 1478-position model. The record is from RNAcentral.